AACACUGUUAACCUGCGGUACCUGCGGAAGGAUCAUUAAUGAAUAAACUUGGUCAAACUGUUGCUGGUCUCUCGAGACAUGUGCACGCUUGCCACCAACUUUAACCACCUGUGCACCUUUUGUAGACUGGAAACGUUUCUCGAGGCAACUCGGAUUGAGAACUGUUGCGCGCAAGCCAGCUGUUCUUGAGUUUCUCAGUCUAUGUUUUCAUAUACUCCUAAUGUAUGUAAUCGAAUGUAU
This 240-nucleotide unclassified non-coding RNA is filed under the name soil metagenome. RNAcentral's name for it is "partial contains 5.8S ribosomal RNA, internal transcribed spacer 2, and large subunit ribosomal RNA". The record is from RNAcentral.